AUUCCCAUCACAAUCCAGGGGAACCGAGAGCUGAAGCUCCUUCAGCGGCAAAACGCGGAAGUGCCAACGGCAGAUUGUAGGAUCCUCAACAUUGGUAGCCUACUACCCAACGAGGGGGGGGGGGGGGCAAUGUGUGAUCCUUCAAAUGAACAAAGAAGCAGAAGAUCUGUGUCUCCCAAAAAGCGCCACCCCUAAGAUAAGGAUGCACACACCCUGCAAGUCGGCGGUGACCUGACGCUGGUAGUUAACCCGUCAGCUACAACUGAGCCAGCCAUCCAUGAUGCUGAGUGUGCUGCAGCUCAACUUGCAUAAAAGCAAGGUAGCUUCGGUGGAGCCCCCCUUGGCUAUGCUUGCAACGGGAAAUAGUACUCUGAUAUCUGGCUGGAAAGUCCUUAAAAGAUCAUCCUUCUCAGAUCAUAAGUACAUUCAGCUUAAGUGCGAAUUCAAGCACUCUUCGAAGAUAUCAGUCUAUAGAACCAUCGGAAUACAAACUGGGAAUCCGCUGAGGAUAUAGAGAGGUCCCAAGAGACAUCAUGCCAUCAGACACACAUCAUGCUAACCCUCAAGAACGAAGAAGAACACUAGAAAAGCUGCUGGAUUUCCACAUCAGGAAUGAGGUGAUUGGUAUAAAAAUCGAGAUAAAAGUUCGACUUGAUGGCUAGGAACAGCUGCAUCCCUCUACAGACAUAUUUGGUAUAACACUUAAAACCAGGUUGUGGUUAUCGUCAAAAUAUAACAAGCUUAAGGAACUCAUUUUUGUUGGCGAACAGCACGGCGUGGCUGACGUCGUUAAGGCGGCUAGAUGAGUGUGGGGAUACUGCUCAAGGUAUCCAACUCUGCAGUCGCCACUGCAAAAGUAUGCA
Drosophila pseudoobscura is the source of this 863-nucleotide long non-coding RNA. RefSeq lists it as uncharacterized. The record is from RefSeq and is a predicted model, not a curated record. The transcript has 2 exons. Lineage: Eukaryota; Metazoa; Arthropoda; Insecta; Diptera; Drosophilidae.